This 486-nucleotide ribosomal RNA is filed under the name uncultured bacterium. Its description in RNAcentral is "partial 16S ribosomal RNA". It matches the Rfam family "Bacterial small subunit ribosomal RNA", at positions 30 to 507 of the family's 1533-position model. The record is from RNAcentral.
AUUGAACGCUGGCGGCAUGCCUUACACAUGCAAGUCGAACGGCCGCACGGGUUCUUGCCCCUGGUGGCGUUUGGGGCACAGGUGUGUAUUACAUCGGAACAUGUUCCGUAGAGGGGGAGAAUCAGGCGAAAGCCCCAUUAAUACCGCAUACGAACAUCGGAAGACAGCGGGGGCCCAAGUGGCAGCCCGUUAUCCGGUUACUCGUAGCUUGAUUAGCUAGUUGGUGGGGUAAAGGCCUACCAAGGCCACGACCAGUAGCCGGUCUGAGAGGGAGACCAGCCACACUGGAACGGAGACACGGUCCAGACUCCUACGGGAGGCAGCAGUAGGGAAUUUUGGACAAUGGGCGAAAGCCUGAUCCAGCAAUGCCGCGUGUGUGAUGAAGGUCUUCGGAUUGUAAAGCACUUUUGUCCGGAAAGAAAAUCUUGGCUCUAAUACAGGCGGAGCAUGACGGUACCGAAAGAAAAAGCACCGGCUAACUACGUG